GAAAGCGGCGGCGUUCGCUACAAUAUGAGCUGUUUUGAGCCUCUGAUCUGAUGAACGUGCGUGAGGGGACUGUUAAUGUGCCUUUAAAAAUACGCCCACACUAAUCUCUCCACCCACGGUUAUCGCGCGUGGCACGUUUCUUUGAAACUGAUAAAUGAAGCACAGCUCUGGCGGGCGCUGAAUUGCGCAGAGCAUCAAGCAACUACAGCACAGCUCUCUGCAGAUUUCAUUACAUUCACUGCUUCUAUGAGGCACUGCCCAUUUCUGAACCAUUAGGCGAUGUGUGUGAACCAGAGGAAAGAGCCUCAGGUGAAUAGAGGAUUUGUCAGAGAGGCGUGUGAGCGUGUCUGCUUAAAGCAGUCCUCAGGGUCUUUCCUCUAAGAGUGCCCUCAACAGUCAACAACGUCGAAAGUCGCCUACUUUAAGCGAAAAUAUGCGGAA
Molecule: non-coding RNA, 441 nt
Organism: Danio rerio (zebrafish)
Lineage: Eukaryota; Metazoa; Chordata; Actinopteri; Cypriniformes; Danionidae
Source: Ensembl